Small nucleolar RNA from Bombina bombina (fire-bellied toad), 64 nucleotides. RefSeq annotates it as small nucleolar RNA Z39. The record is from RefSeq and is a predicted model, not a curated record. NCBI's taxonomy places the organism in Eukaryota, Metazoa, Chordata, Amphibia, Anura, Bombinatoridae. The transcript has a single exon.
GUGCAAAUGAUGUGAACUUAUCAGUAUGAGUGUAUCAAUGAUACUGUAAACGCUUGCUGAUGUA